UGGGUUCGAUUCCGGAGAGGGAGCCUGAGAGACGGCUACCNUUACUAAGGUUGGCAGCAGGCGCGCAAAUUGCCCAAUANCAAACACAUCGCUGAGGCAGCGAAGAGAAAUAGCAACUUCAUGCGGCUCUGCCGUGUGAAGAUUGCCAUGGACGGUAUCUAAACCUGUCGGUGAGUAUCAAUUGGUGGACAAGUCUGGUGCCAGCACCCGCGGUAAUUCCAGCACCAAUAGCGUAUAUUAAUGCUGCUGCUGUUAAAAAGCUCGUAGUUGGAUCAAGAGUCGGACAGUGCAAGGUGGCCCCAUUUGCGUGCGUGGCUCCGGUUACAAUCGCGGUGGCGGAUCAACCCCUUGCGCCAAACUGUCCGCUCUAACAGGCCGAAACGGUUCCCUGUGAGUAGGUCCCUUCACGGGGAUCGAAAGCGCCUACGCAUCAACCAUAUGCAUACGGGACGUCGGCCAAUGUUACUGUGAACAAACCAGCGUGUCCAAAGCAGGCCUCCGCCUGAAUGUUCGAGCAUGGAAUAACAAGGGAUCGAUUCUCUCGAUUCUUUUUGUUGGUUUUUAACCCGAGAAGGAGUAAUUCAGGUCACGGUGUCUGAGUUGGGUUCCCUUAGCCUCCGGGUUAGGCCCCAAUUAGGCCGUGGCCUUACGGGAUCAAUAGGGACUGACGGGGCCGUACGUACUUCCGCGUCAGAGGUGAAAUUCUUAGAUCGCGGGAAGACGAACUUCUGCGAAAGCAUUCGGCAAGAAUGUCUUCAUUAAUCAAGAACGAGAGUGUGGGGAUCGAAGAUGAUCAGAUACCGUCGUAGUCCACUACUGUAAACAAUGCCGUCUCAGGAUUGAGAAGUGAACAUAAUGACUUUCACAGCACUAACCCCUGAAACGAGAAAUCAAGA
This 896-nucleotide ribosomal RNA is filed under the name uncultured eukaryote. RNAcentral's name for it is "bacterial SSU rRNA". It matches the Rfam family "Eukaryotic small subunit ribosomal RNA", at positions 372 to 1102 of the family's 1831-position model. The record is from RNAcentral.